CACACUCAAACCCUGACUCAGCCAGCUCGUUACCCCAGCUGACUGACAGCUUCUCGAAGCCUGAGCUGCUACAACAGUAAAAUCAAAAUAAGGCAGUUCUCAGAAGCUUUAAUGAUGGGAGUCUCAUGCCUUCUGUUAACAUCCGUGAAACUGUGAAACCUUCCAUGGGAAGAUUUCAAGAAAAGUGACAUUUUAUCCAGACCAAUAAAUAUAACGCAGAUGUGAUUGCUGGCUCUGCUGGAUCUAGUUCAUACCUCACAGGACAGUUUGAGAACAGAAGCGGAGUUCUAUAGAUGGCAGUAAACUUAACAAAUAUGUAUGAAAAACCAAAG
Long non-coding RNA from Mirounga angustirostris (Northern elephant seal), 332 nucleotides. RefSeq lists it as uncharacterized. The transcript has 5 exons. NCBI's taxonomy places the organism in Eukaryota, Metazoa, Chordata, Mammalia, Carnivora, Phocidae. The record is from RefSeq and is a predicted model, not a curated record.